UACGGAGGGUGCAAGCGUUAAUCGGAAUUACUGGGCGUAAAGCGUACGUAGGCGGCUUGUUAAGCAAGAUGUGAAAUCCCCGGGCUCAACCUGGGAAUGGCAUUUUGAACUGGCAGGCUCGAGUUCUGAAGAGGGUGGUAGAAUUUCCAGUGUAGCGGUGAAAUGCGUAGAUAUUGGAAGGAACACCAGUGGCGAAGGCGGCCUUCUGGCCUUAACCUGACGCUGAGGAGCGAAAGCUAGGGGAGCAAACGGG
RNAcentral lists this ribosomal RNA (253 nucleotides) under uncultured microorganism. Its description in RNAcentral is "partial 16S ribosomal RNA". It matches the Rfam family "Bacterial small subunit ribosomal RNA", at positions 524 to 776 of the family's 1533-position model. The record is from RNAcentral.